RNAcentral lists this ribosomal RNA (398 nucleotides) under uncultured bacterium. RNAcentral describes it as "bacterial SSU rRNA". It matches the Rfam family "Bacterial small subunit ribosomal RNA", at positions 30 to 431 of the family's 1533-position model. The record is from RNAcentral.
AUUGAACGCUGGCGGCAUGCUUUACACAUGCAAGUCGAACGGCAGCGCGGGCUUCGGCCUGGCGGCGAGUGGCGAACGGGUGAGUAAUAUAUCGGAACGUACCCAAGAGUGGGGAUAACGUAGCGAAAGUUACGCUAAUACCGCAUACGAUCUAAGGAUGAAAGCAGGGGAUCGCAAGACCUUGUGCUCCUGGAGCGGCCGAUAUCUGAUUAGCUAGUUGGUGGGGUAAAGGCCCACCAAGGCAACGAUCUGUAGCUAGUCUGAGAGGACGACCAGCCACACUGGGACUGAGACACGGCCCAGACUCCUACGGGAGGCAGCAGUGGGGAAUUUUGGACAAUGGGCGCAAGCCUGAUCCAGCCAUGCCGCGUGCGGGAAGAAGGCCUCGGUUGUAACGC